CCUACGGGAGGCAGCAGUGGGGGAUAUUGUACAAUGGGGGAAACCCUGAUGCAGCGACGCCGCGUGAGUGAAGAAGUAUUUCGGUAUGUAAAGCUCUAUCAGCCGGGAAGAAAAUGACAGUACCUGACCAAGAAGCCCCGGCUAACUACGUGCCAGCAGGCGCGGUAAUACGGAGGGAGCAAGCGUUAUCCGGAUGUACUGGGUGUAAAGGGAGCGUAGACGGGUAUGUAAGUCUGGAGUGAAAGCCCUGGGGCCAACCCCGGGACUGCGUUGGAAACUGUGUAACUGGAGUAAAGGAGGGGCAGGCGGAAUGCCUGGUGUAGCGGUGAAAUGCGUAGAUAUCAGGAGGAACACCGGCGGCGAAGGCAGCCUGCUGGAGGGAAACUGACGUUGAGGCUCGAAAGCGUGGGGAGCGAACAGGAUUAGAUACCCGAGUAGUC
Molecule: ribosomal RNA, 440 nt
Filed under: uncultured bacterium
Lineage: Bacteria
Description: partial 16S ribosomal RNA
Rfam family: Bacterial small subunit ribosomal RNA
Source: RNAcentral